GCUCUGUUUAUUAUUAUUAUUAUUAUUAUUAUUAUUAUUAUUAGGGCCCGAGCACUUCGAGUGCGAAGGCCCUAUUGUAUCUGCUCUGUUUAUUAUUAUUAUUAUUAUUAUUAUUAUUAUUAUUAUUAUUAUUAUUAUUAUUUUUCAUUGAAAUGAAUUGCCUUUUUGAGGGCUUUAACAUGCUCAAAAACUCAUGAAAUUUUGCACACAUGCCAGGUCUGGUGAAAAAUUUUGUAUUUUAAUGGUUUUAUAUAUGAGCACUGGGAAAUGGCUCUGUAGCGCCACCUAUGCGUUGUUAAAUGCAGCCCUACGAACACAUCUUUUGAGCUACAUGUAUGAAAUUUAGCACACAUGUGUAUCAUGCCAAGACGAACAAAAAAGUCAAUGGGACCAUUGACGCAGACCCAACAGGAAGUCCGCCAUUUCGAAGUGAAAGUGACAUUUUGGCUCCAAUUUUGCCAUUUCCAUGCCUCGAACUUUUUCGAACUCCUCCUUGGGAUUUUGUCAUAGAAACUUCAUAUUUGGACAGUGCCAACUACACACCUGGGCCAUGUUAAAUUGCGGAGCUUUUGAGUUUUCGUGAUACGGUGAGGCCGUGGCGCCACGGCGAAUUUCGAUGACUCGCCACGAAAAUCUUAUUGUCUCUCAUUCUCUCAUACAUGGUCCGACGUGGACCAAAGAGCACACAUAUGAUAAGGCUCCACCCCUGAACAUAUUUCAACUGCCAUAUUUGACACCAGGGACAGCGCCACCUAGUGGCAACAGGAAAUGUCAUGUUUUACACUUUGGUGUACAGUAUUGUGAUGGGUGACAUCUGCAGCCUGAAAUUUUUCCAGGAAAGCCUUAAGGAGUUGGUCUUGGCUUACAGUGAAAACUGUGAGUUUUCGCGAAAGGGUGUGACCCCAGCAGCGUGGCGAACAUUGAUGUCUCGCCAUGAAGAAACAAAUUAGUGUAACUCAAUGAAAUCCAGUCUGAUCAGAACCAGACUUUACAGGCAUGAUGUCAGACCCGCCCUGAACAGAUUGAUGUGCCCAUUGUCAGGAAUACGAGGAGCGCCACCUAGUGGCAGCAGGAAAUGUCAUGUCUUUCAUUUUGUUGUACUGAUUUUCACAGGUUCAUCGUGGCCACCUGAAAAGCAGUGAAUAGCACCAUCAGUCCCUCAUGAUGCUUCAGUGAGAAAAUUGUGACUUUAAACUGAACGGCGCACCCUGGUGGUAACGCUGUUCACCAUGACCAUUGAAGUGGCUUUUGAGGGGCUUGGAAAGUUUAAAAUGUCUUGAAAUUUGGCGCAUACCUCCAGUGUGAUGAGCGCUUUCUUGUUAUUUUACCAUUUUCAUUGAAUAGCGCAAAAUGGCUCCACAGCGCCCCCUACAAAAUUUCAAAUCAACAGCCCCUGCUCUGUGUUUUAUGUAUGAGUCUGAAACCUGGUAAGCUUCUGGAAGAUAUCAAGAUGUACAAAAAAGUCUCUUGGAGCAAUAUCCCAAAUCCAACAGGAAGUCAGACAUUUUGAAAUUAAUGUGUAAUUUUGGCGACAAUUUCCCUUCUUUUCAGGCCUCAUACUUUGACGAACUCCUCCAAGGGAUUUCAUCAGAUUGAGGCGAUCUCCUGUGCGUGGAAUCUAAAGACCUUUGUGAUGUUAAAUUGCGAAGC
This is a long non-coding RNA of Oreochromis aureus, 1650 nucleotides long. NCBI's taxonomy places the organism in Eukaryota, Metazoa, Chordata, Actinopteri, Cichliformes, Cichlidae. The record is from Ensembl.